This 254-nucleotide ribosomal RNA is filed under the name uncultured bacterium. RNAcentral describes it as "partial 16S ribosomal RNA". It matches the Rfam family "Bacterial small subunit ribosomal RNA", at positions 524 to 776 of the family's 1533-position model. The record is from RNAcentral.
UACGUAGGGGGCAAGCGUUGUCCGGAUUUAUUGGGCGUAAAGAGCGUGUAGGCGGCCUGGAAGGUCAGCUGUGAAAACUCGAGGCUCAACCUCGAGACGUCGGUUGAAACCACCUGGCUAGAGUCCGGAAGAGGAGAGUGGAAUUCCCGGUGUAGCGGUGAAAUGCGCAGAUAUCGGGAAGAACACCCGUGGCGAAGGCGGCUCUCUGGGACGGUACUGACGCUGAGACGCGAAAGCGGUGGGGAGCGAACAGG